ACAGCUGGAGGACAAAUUUUCCACCGGAUUACCAAAACCUCACGGAUCUCACGUAAUCCCGCCGGUUGUGUAGGCCAAGUUCUCUGCAUUAACGGCAUUAACAGUCUGUCGAGCGCGAUCAAUGUUUAGAAGAAAUGGUCCUUCCGAAGUUUCUCGUUCAGGAAGGACAACCAAAAGCUCGCCAUGAAGGAGAAGGACGGCGGGUGCGAGAAUUUCAGCCGAAGAAGACCAAGCCGGAAUGACCCCUGUGAAAGGCGAGGAAGUCGCCGCUGUCGAUUCGCCAGCCGAAACGACAUCCCAUGUUCCUACGUCUUUCUCGUCCAACCCGCCGAAGGGCAUCACGUCGGUGCUGACAAACAUCAUCCAGACUACGAACCACCCAAUCCGUAACUGUUAGAUGGACGCACAAUCGCAAACGAGCUAGUCGAUUGAAUCGGUGGUCCUGCAUCCUCACCGGGGUCCACAACCGCAACCAGUACGGCCACGAGCAGUGCCGCGAGUAGCUUGAGCAGCAGUAUUUCCGGUGGAAGUAGCGGUGAAUGCUCGGGAAGUAGUGCCGCAAGUAGCAUUUCAAGCUCGAGCUCGGGUGACGGAGGUGGAGACUGGAGACAACACCACGACUAGGACCAGUAGCAACAACAGAAGUGAUCCGUACUGCCGCACUAUGGGCCAUCUCCAUACAAACAGGCGGCCAAAUUAUUUUUUUGCUUUUUAAAUGUUUUUUCAUACAAAUUUGGUUAAUUGUAUGGUAUUGAAAUGAUAUACGUCGAUUUCUAUGACUUUUCAUGUUUUUCAAUAGUUGAUUGUUUAUAAUAAAUAGUCUUUUCAUACAUUUACAAGUGCAACAGAAUUGCGUAUAUAUUGUAUUGCAAGUUUAUAUUAUUAAAUUAUGGAUAAGCUAAUACAUCCCCACUUUAAGGACACAACCCCUCCCUCCUCUUUCAUUAAACAACAUUUUAUCUAUUAAUAGUUUCAAAGCUUAUCUCAUUACCUUUCCAACUAUGUAUUAUUGAUCUAAUAAAAUAUUUAAAAUGGCUGAACUAUGUUAAAAUGAAACAUUCAGUCUUUUUUACGAAAAACGCUAGUUUUUUACUCCAUUUUUUGACUUUCAGCUUGCGUAUCUAAUGAACAAACUUAGAGCUUUGAAAAUUUGGAUUUAUCUUAGUUAGAAUGUUUACUUUCGAAAAAAAAAUACCAAAAAAUAUUUGGAGAAGGUCACUUUUUUUAAACUUGGCCACCCAAUGUACCAUAGUGUGCCGGUUGGAGAAAUAAGCAGCAGCAACAGGUCCAUGCACAAGAAUCAAUUUAAUCUGCUAUCCCUGAACACGUUUUGCCACCAGAAGAUCUUGCAUCGGAUCGUGCAACGGUUCAUAGUGGACCAGUCCAAAUCUUCGCCGGAUACGCCAGUGGUAAAAAACAGCCCAACCGUGAGGAAUCACGCAUUUUCUAUCGCUGCGAUCCCGGCGCCACUCGAAAUCCAUAACUAACAUUCUCGCUCUUCUUUUUGUUUGCACAUUUUCCAGACGUCAAACUGGGCGAUCCGUCGUGAAUCUUCAGCGAGGUCACGUGCGACUUCCGGUCGGACCAACUGCCCACGCCUGAGUUUGUUCAGGUGCACCAGCCCGUUUCCAACAUCAUUCAGCACAAGGCUGGCAGCAGUUUAUCGUCGUCUCGGUCGCUUGUUCGAACAAUUAACAAGAGUUGCUGGAGCGCACGACAUGGAGGACGGCUCGGACGAGCAUCUGCAGAUGUUCAACAUUGAUGACUCCGCGAACGAAACCAUGUCGGAGUGCGUCGGCGGAAUCUAUCCCACGGACACCUCGAGGGAAACGGUCGACAACUACGAGUUGGGCGAGUGCAUUGACGAGAAAUGGCGGCCAAUCUCAGUUGCCAGAAUAUUGACGCGUACGCGAACCUUUUCGACAUGGACUCAUCCUGCAAGACGCUGGGCUGGCAACAAGAACCAGUUGGUGACGUUGCGGUUGGUAACCUGAACCUGUCCUACGCCUAGCAAUAUGGCUUCCUGCAGGCAGCGGCUAUUGCAACCACAGCCAGACAGGGUGGUCAGCUAAUGACGUUCGACUAACAGAUGUGAGACUAAUAAAGAAAUCGGGAAACAGUGAAGCCGAACUAAAAAAUUACUAAAAAGUGAACGAUUUUGCUUUUAAUAUUGAGCAAUUCCAGCUCAAAUCAGGAAUUUUUCUGGUACUUUUGUACCCGACCCACUCCGAUUUCAAUGAAACUUUGUAGACAUGUUAUCCUAGACCUAUAUAAGCCAUUUUUAUGUAUAUGGAGCCAAUAGUACUCGAAAAUAUCAUUUGAGAAGGGCGUAAGGUAUUUAAAUAUUUUUGUGUUUUGUAAUUUAAAAAUUACUGUAUCUCGAAGCCGUUGCGUCGUAUCAAAAAGUGGUCAAAGACAAACUUGUAGGAAAUUGGACGGGCUUUCUGAAAAAAAUACACUGAAACAAAAAUACACGCCACUUCUAUGAGAUUUUUUGAUUUUUAAGUCUAAAACUAAAAUUUCACGAUUUUUUUCGUUCAAAAUUUUUGAGGAAAUAGCCUAAAAUGUUACCAAAAGACUGACGAAAAAUGCAGGAUGGUAUGUCUCUCCUAAAAAAUACAAAAAUCAUUUACUAAAACUGUUUUUUUGAAAAGUGGUCUAAACGUCAAAAUUUUUGAAAACCGGUAGUGGGAAUCGAUUCCCCAGACAAUUUUACAUAAAAGUCUCCAUAUUGACCAUUGUCCUAAGUCCAACCCUUGCGGAGUUACAGCGGUUUUAAAAAUAAAAAUGUUGAAAAAACGAGGUUUUUGGUGGAUUUUGACAAUUUCUAUAUGACAGACUUGGAUUUUCAGUCUCGAAAAUAUUUUUACCGGAAAGCUCGUCCAAUUUCCCAUAAGAUUGUCUUUGACAGCUUUUUGAUUUAUAUCGUUUUUAUAUUUACGUAAGAAAAUUUACUGUCCUGGUUUCUACCACACUGAAAAAAAUAUUCUAUUUUCAGUUAUUAGCAAUGUGAUAAAGCUUAUAUCUGUAAGCCCAUACAUCCAAUUGAAAAGUGGUCAAAGACAAUCUUAUGGGAAAUUGGACGAGCUUUCCGGUAAAAAUAUUUUCGAGACUGAAAAACCAAGUCUGUCAUAUAGAAAUGGUCAAAAACCACCAAAAACCCCGUUUUUUCAACAUUUUUAUUUUUAAAACCGCUGUAUCUUUCCAAGGAUUGGACUUAGGAUAAUGGUCAAUAUGAAGACUUUUAUGUAAAAUUGUCUGGGGAAUCGAUUCCCACUACCGGUUUUCAAAAAUUUUGACGUUUAGACCACUUUUCAAAAAAACAGUUUUAGUAAAUGAUUUUUGUAUUUUUUUAGGAGAGACAUACCAUCCUGCAUUUUUCGUCAGUCUUUUGGUAACAUUUUAGGCUAUUUCCUCAAAAAUUUUGAACGAAAAAAAAUCGUGACAUCAUCUUUAAAUUUUAGUUUUAGACUUAAAAAUCAAAAAAUCUCAUAGAUGUGGCGUGUAUUUUUGUUUCAGUGUAUUUUUUCAGAAAGUUCGUCCAAUUUCCUACAAGUUUGUCUUUGGCCACUUUUUGAUACGACGCAACGGCUUCGAGAUACAGUAAUUUUUAAAUUACAAAAUACAAAAAUAUUUAAAUACCUUACACCCUUCUCAAAUGAUAUUUUCGAGUACUAUUGGCUCCAUAUACAUAAAAAUGGCUUAUAUAGGCCUAGGAUAACAUGUCUACAAAGUUUCAUUGAAAUCGGAGUGGGUCGGGUACAAAAGUACCAGAAAAAUUCCUGAUUUGAGCUGGAAUUGCUCUAUUGUAUGCCAUUCGAAUGAAGAAUAUAGUGAAUAUUCCAUUCAUUGAUUUUUAUUAGUACUUAUAAUUGCAUUACAACCUAACGUGUGCGCCCAUUAUCCACCGGGUUCACCAAGUGAAUCAUAAUGCAGCCUGAAAAAUUUCCGGGAAAGGUAGGUAGCACCUUCGACGGUAAGGCCCUCGCUCUGACGCCGUGCCGAAUCACCGGUUCGGAAGUGCGCGACCGGGAUGAUUCGCUACCGCUGGCGCUCACCAUUGCCUUCUUGAGUUGCAGCAGGAUCGAUCAGGAAAAUGUUCCCCUGCUGGUCGCCAAUACGCUGAUCAGGGUGGUGGGGCCAAAAACGGCGAGGACAACCUGUGCCCUGGCUUCCAGGAAAGGCUUGUGGGGCAUCUACUUCAGGCGCUGCGUCUAAGUUCCUCUCCUUGGCUGUUUGGGAGCCCCAGUACCACUGUUCCGGGCGUAUCGAGGGGCCCUCCUUUGAAGAGAAGGCCUGCGACCUUACGUUGAAUGGCGCGGAGUGUCGCUAGAUGACGGAUUGUGGUCCAAUCAUUAAUAGAACAAAUCCGACCAUUUCGGGACAGAGCGCGUGCGCACGUUACCUAACAAUGGCAAGGGUGGGUGCCAAUGUUAUCGUUCAAUCGUUCACUUCCAUCAAAGAGGUUACCUAUUUUUAAUAUCUCCAUCCGGAAUUCAUGAUAUGGGUUGGUAAACAGUUAUCAUUUAUUUUAAAAAAAUAUCUGGAAUGAUCCGUGUUGAACUGGAACCUUUGUCUAUCAAGUCCGUGGAUUAAAAAAAAAUGGCUGGGUUCAAAACAGUAUUUUUGACCAUAGGCACGGGAAAUCAUAAGCAUCGUGUGCUGAACAUAAGCACGAGCACUGCUCGUCAAAAUUUCACGUGCAGAACCAAAUCGAAGUACACCAAGAAAAUUCAUGUGUGUCUACCAAUCAACCCUGCUGGGCGAUGGCCAAUUGGAGACCACACACACACACACACACACACACACACACCAUUAGAAUUUAGUUUUUCUUAUUUUAGACUCAUAAUAUUCCCAAUGUAUGGCAAUCGGCGGACCAUCUUUGCGUGGUAUGGUGUUUACAGUUCGUUCUGGUUGUCAAUCGUUUUCUGCACAGCAUUAUUGAUUUGGACAAAAAAUCAAACAGUAAAUUCAUAGCCAACAAAGAAAUCAGAUUGACGAAAGCAUACCAGUUCUUUAUGGGCGGUCCUUCUUCCGGUGCCGAACAGUUAUCAACUCUAACUAACAACAUGAUAGAUGAAGAAGAUUGGAUUGAAGACAUUCGUAGAAAUUUUCAGCAUAAAUUCGAUACAGGGCUUCCGAAAACACGUGUUCAAAUGAUACGCUUAGAUCCAAACCCUUUGUAUAAGUUCAGGGGUCCGAACUGCAAAAAGUGUAACUUUUGGACUUAGAAAAAUUUUGAAGAAUUUGCGGAAUGAUUUCACCCGCUGUCAAAUCGGGACUUAGUGAAAUUUGGAUGCUGGUAGCAAGAGGUGUUGCAGGUAAGUUCUGCUCGGAUUUGCGAACAGCUACCGGAAAAGGCAAGAUUCCGGUUCUCUCAAACUGGAUAACCGACAUUACCAGGCCAGCGAAUAAUGUUGUGGCCGAAUUCGGUUGAAUUCUUGGUUCUCCAGUCUGGGGUAAGCGAAAUUCUACCUUCUGGUAGGAAACGGCUAAAAUCUGACGGCUGCGGUUGGAAAAGGCAAGAUUCCGGUUCCUUCAGAUGGGGAAACCAAGAAUCACGGAGAGGUGAAUAUAUUUGUGGCUGGAUUGUAUUGAUUUUUUGGCUCUUCGGUCUGAGGGAGGUAAAUUUUGACCUUCCGGUCGGAAUUCAAGGAAAUUAUCGUCAGCGCCCGGUAAAAAAUAAGGUACCGGUUCCCCCAGACCGGAUAUCCAAGAUCACGGGCUGGUGUUUAAUUUUAUGGUCAUAUUCGAUUGUUUAUUUGGUUCUUCGUUCUGGGGAAGCAAAUUUUUACCUUCCGGCCGCAAAUUCAUCGUCAGCGCCCGGAAAAAAAACAAGAUUCCAGUUCCCCAGACCGGAUAUCCAAAAAUCACGGGCGGGUAGUUAAUUUUAUGGUAGGAUUCGAUUGAUUUUAUGGUUCAUAGGUCUGAGGGAACCAAAUUUGCCUUAAUAUCGACCGGAAGUCAGAAAUUUGCUUUCCCCAGACCGAAGACCCAAGAAAUCAGUUGAAUCCGGCCACACAAUUAUCUACCUCUCCGUGAUUCUUGGUUUUCCAGUCUGGAGGAACCGGAAUCUUGCUUAAACCACGAAUCACGGGAGGUGAAUAAUUUUGUGGCCGGAUUCAACUGAUUUCGUGGUUCUUCGGUCUGGGAGAAGAGAAAUUGUACCACUCGGGGGGAAGUGCAAUGUUACCUUCUGUCCGGAUUUUUGUCAAAUCUGACGGCCACGACUUUUGUUGAAAAAUUGAAAGUUUUCUACAGCUAAAAUUACUUUUCACAGAUUAGAUACGCACGCGAACCAACAGCGAACAGAACGUGUUCCCGGAUUUCGCCUACCGGAAGUUCCGUGCGCCCAGACCCGAAGAAGAAAACAUUUGAGAAUCGAGGACAAGCAACCUGGAAAGUCCGAAGAGGAGGAUCAAAACCAGCUCUCGGAAAGUCAGGAAUCGGCGGGAGAAAACAUACGCGAUGGCACCGACUAUCCCGGCUGACGCUUAUCCCGCUCGCGGCAUUAGAUCUGGCUCCGUAAGCCGCUGCUGAUCCGACAAUCGUGCCAGCUCGGUAAGUCCCCUUCGUGUUCUCCGACAAAGACGUCAGUGCCGAAGCCGCAGUCACAGCGGAUCGGCCCGUUCGUGCAGUGCAUCGGAGCAGUCUAGGUCCAGAUCCGUAUCGGCCGUAACCAGGGCAACCGGCGCGGCACUAGUCGUUUCUUGGUUUGUCCCUACGAUCACUUGAACAUUCCACAGUCCCCGGGGAAACCCAAGUCCGACUUCGGUGCGGCCUCGUCUUGAGGAGUGAUUCAACACGACAACGAGCAGGGUGAGUGCGAUGGCUCGAGGAUCGCAAACUUGUUUAAUAUUUAAGAGCACCGGAUACUGCAGGACAAUAUUGACCAAGAUUAAGACGGGAAAUUUAGGAACGCUACUGCAAGGCAGAGUUGAUCGCCGGUGGCUGUCGCACAUCAACUACCAUUAAGCUGUUUUGCUGCUUCAGGGCGACUCAACCAACGAUUGGCGCACCAAAAAGUUCUGGAUGUUCCGCGGUGGGUCGAUCUGUAAGCCCCCUCUUAUCAACUUUUACACCCAGGGAAUGCCCGAGAAGCUGCUGGUGGAUCUGGACGGCUUCGACUACAACAAGGGCAACCUUUCGGCGGCGUAAGUCGCUUCACUCUGGUCAAGCUACAAUAAUUCAUAUCCAUUUUAAAACAAAGCCAACGUGACCGCUUAGGUCGGCGACUCGGUGAUCUUUUGCAUCGAGCACGCCGACGCGGCCGAGGAGAUUUGCGAGUGGUUCGCCGAGUCGCUGUCGAACAACGAAAACCAUGUUCAAGCGGAAGAUCGCCCGCAUCUACCUGAUCUCGGACUCUGCACAGCUGCAGUGUCAAGGUAUCGAACGUGAGCUUCUUCCGGAAGGCGUAAGAAUGUUUAAAUUUUGAAAACAGCAGAUUUUUCAUCACAUUUUAAUCCUACAGCGUGGAGAAGAAUCUGCUGGGCAUCUUCAAGAAUCUCUUCGCCUACCACAUGCAGUUGGACAGCCGUCUCAAAGCCGAGGGCUUCAAGUCGCGCAUGAUGAACGUGUUCAAAGCGUGGGAGGAGUGGGCUACCCGAAGGACUUUUUGCUUAGGCUGCAGCACACCUUCCUGGGGAUUGCGAUUGUGAGUAGAUUUAUUUAUUGGUUUGACAAUUUCAAAAAUACAAUCUCUCAACAGGUCGAAAAGCAACCGGAAGAAGUGCCCGCCCUGUUGAAGGGAAUUGCCGAUACAGAUUCCAGCACGCCAGUGCUCAAGCACGACAUCUACAACGACGGGAUGCCGCUAAACACCACGGAGGACAUUGACGGCGUUCCGAUG
Molecule: RNA transcript, 7849 nt
Organism: Culex pipiens pallens (northern house mosquito)
Lineage: Eukaryota; Metazoa; Arthropoda; Insecta; Diptera; Culicidae
Gene name: GPI inositol-deacylase
Exons: 5
Source: RefSeq, a predicted model, not a curated record